GGCUAAUACCGCAUACGACCUACGGGUGAAAGCAGGGGAUCUUCGGACCUUGCGCUAUUAGAUGAGCCUAGUGUCUGAUUAGCUAGUUGGUAAGGUAAUGGCUUACCAAGGCUACGAUCAGUAGCUGGUCUGAGAGGAUGAUCAGCCACACUGGGACUGAGACACGGCCCAG
Molecule: ribosomal RNA, 172 nt
Filed under: uncultured bacterium
Lineage: Bacteria
Description: partial 16S ribosomal RNA
Rfam family: Bacterial small subunit ribosomal RNA
Source: RNAcentral